RNAcentral lists this ribosomal RNA (447 nucleotides) under uncultured bacterium. Its description in RNAcentral is "bacterial SSU rRNA". It matches the Rfam family "Bacterial small subunit ribosomal RNA", at positions 355 to 825 of the family's 1533-position model. The record is from RNAcentral.
UGGGGAAUAUUGGACAAUGGGGGAAACCCUGAUCCAGCCAUGCCGCGUGAAUGAUGAAGGCCUUAGGGUUGUAAAGUUCUUUUGUCAGGGAAGAUAAUGACGGUACCUGAAGAAUAAGCACCGGCUAACUUCGUGCCAGCAGCCGCGGUAAUACGAAGGGUGCUAGCGUUGUUCGGAAUCACUGGGCGUAAAGCGCGCGUAGGCGGUUAUUCGAGUCAGGGGUGAAAUCCUGGGGCUCAACCCCAGAAUUGCCUUUGAAACUGUAUAACUAGAGUGUCGGAGGGGAUAGCGGAAUUGCUAAUGUAGCGGUGAAAUGCGUAGAUAUUAGCAGGAACACCGGUGGCGAAGGCGGCUAUCUGGACGACAACUGACGCUGAGGCGCGAAAGCGUGGGGAUCAAACAGGAUUAGAUACCCCCGUAGUCCCUGAGCGGGCUGGCAAGGCGCAU